This 745-nucleotide ribosomal RNA is filed under the name uncultured bacterium. RNAcentral describes it as "bacterial SSU rRNA". It matches the Rfam family "Bacterial small subunit ribosomal RNA", at positions 346 to 1104 of the family's 1533-position model. The record is from RNAcentral.
AGGCAGCAGUGGGGAAUCUUGCACAAUGGAGGAAACUCUGAUGCAGCGACGCCGCGUGAGCGAUGAAGCCCUUCGGGGUGUAAAGCUCUUUCGCAGGGGAAUAACACAAUGAAUGUACCCUGUAAGAAAGGAUCGGCUAACUUCGUGCCAGCAGCCGCGGUAAGACGAGGGAUCCUAGCGUUGUUCGGAAUCAUUGGGCGUAAAGCGGGUGCAGGUGGCUAUGUAAGUCAGGUGUGAAAGCCUGGGGCUCAACCCCAGAAGUGCAUUUGAUACUGCGUAGCUUGAGUGCUGGAGAGGUUACUAGAAUUCCUGGUGUAGUGGUGAAAUACGUAGAUAUCAGGAGGAAUACCGGAGGCGAAGGCGGGUAACUGGCCAAGCACUGACACUCAGACCCGAAAGCGUGGGGAUCAAACAGGAUUAGAUACCCUGGUAGUCCACGCCAUAAACGAUGGAUACUUGUUGUUGGAGGUAUUGACCCCUUCAGUGACGAAGCUAACGCGUUAAGUAUCCCGCCUGGGGAGUACGGUCGCAAGAUUAAAACUCAAAGAAAUUGACGGGGGCCCGCACAAGCGGUGGAGCAUGUGGUUUAAUUCGAUGCAACGCGAAGAACCUUACCUAGGCUUGACAUGUACUGGAAGAUUGGCGGAAACGCCGUCGCCCGCAAGGGUCGGUACACAGGUGCUGCAUGGCUGUCGUCAGCUCGUGUCGUGAGAUGUUGGGUUAAGUCCCGUAACGAGCGCAACCC